Molecule: long non-coding RNA, 826 nt
Filed under: Androctonus crassicauda
Lineage: Eukaryota; Metazoa; Arthropoda; Arachnida; Scorpiones; Buthidae
Source: RNAcentral
AGGAAAUUGUACUAAUAAACGAGCUAACGGGAUGAUUUAUUGUAAAAAAUAAAAUUCAAAUAGUUUUCUAUUUAUUGCAAUUUAAAAAAUAAUGAUAGCACUUAGCGAAACCGAAAUUUUUCUUGCCGGUUGCAUAAAUACGAAGCAAAAUAUGUCAAAAAUGACAGAACGAUGUUGUUGAUAUCUGUAUAAAGCAUUUGCAUCCCGCAUUUUUAUGGGCUUAUUGAUCAUCCAAAAACCUGCAAUUGUAAAUCGGCCAAUAAUUCAAUGGAGGUAUCUGAAAAGGCAAGUCAAAACAUAAUUCUUUAUAAGAGACAAACCACAAAGAAUCUAAUAGAUGAAAGCAAUCUUUCAGAAACCACCCAGUGGCAUCCGUUUGUCACAGAUACAUAAGAUCGUUUUUGCAGCAAAUCUGUACAAUCCAGCCAUACAGUAUUUGCUAAGCUUCCUAACGGGAACUAUUCCAGUUCCUCUGACAACAUUAAGUGGUUAUCUCGGUGCUAGUCCGGUAGAUAUGCCAUCCAUUUCUAGUCGGUAUGACACACAGGGGUUGUUAUCAGAGCUACCAUUAAUCAUGGGUCAGGUUUCCCAUGAAAAGACUACAGAUAUCAUCAAGCACUUGAAGGCGAAGUAAAAACCUACUCUUCCCCCACUUGUCCUCAACCCUAGUCUAUUAUCACAUGCUUCACUCUAGAAUUUCUCAUUUCCUUGCCGGUUUUAACCUAUUUUCCAUCUUCUAUCUAUCCGGCUUUUGAUGAAAUUUUAAUGCUAGAAAUCCGUGUUAUCCGACUUGUUAAAAUGUCCCUCAUCUCAUUGGUUUCUCCAC